GACGGCACCUUUUACAAGGAGCCGCGGAUGGUCACCCAUAUUGCGGACUCCACCAUCGAAGCCUUGACCAUGUUUUAUCGUGACUUUCUCCCGGAGAAGUCUGCUAUCCUAGACCUCUGCUCCUCCUGGACCUCUCACCUCCCA
This 144-nucleotide non-coding RNA is filed under the name Thraustochytrium sp. LLF1b. Lineage: Eukaryota; Bigyra; Thraustochytrida; Thraustochytriidae. The record is from RNAcentral.